Molecule: ribosomal RNA, 406 nt
Filed under: uncultured bacterium
Lineage: Bacteria
Description: bacterial SSU rRNA
Rfam family: Bacterial small subunit ribosomal RNA
Source: RNAcentral
UGGGGAAUAUUUGGCAAUGGGCGCAAGCCUGACCCAGCAACGCCGCGUGAAGGAAGAAGGCUUUCGGGUUGUAAACUUCUUUUAAGAGGGAAGAGCAGAAGACGGUACCUCUUGAAUAACCCACGGCUAACUACGUGCCAGCAUCCGCGGUAAUACGUAGGUGGCAAGCGUUGUCCGGAUUUACUGGGUGUAAAGGGCGUGCAGCCGGGCUGACAAGUCAGAUGUGAAAUCCCGCGGCUCAACCGCGGAACUGCAUUUGAAACUGUUAGUCUUGAGUACCGGAGAGGUCAUCGGAAUUCCUUGUGUAGCGGUGAAAUGCGUAGAUAUAAGGAAGAACACCAGUGGCGAAGGCGGAUGACUGGACGGCAACUGACGGUGAGGCGCGAAAGCGUGGGGAGCAAACAGG